GAUGAACGCUGGCGGCGUGCCUAAUACAUGCAAGUCGAGCGAACGGACGAGAAGCUUGCUUUUCUGAUGUCAGCGGCGGACGGGUGAGUAACACGUGGAUAACCUACCUAUAAGACUGGGAUAACUUCGGGAAACCGGAGCUAAUACCGGAUAAUAUUUUGAACCGCAUGGUUCAAAAGUGAAAGACGGUCUUGCCGUCACUUAUAGAUGGAUCCGCGCUGCAUUAGCUAGUUGGUAAGGUAACGGCUUACCAAGGCAACGAUGCAUAGCCGACCUGAGAGGGUGAUCGGCCACACUGGAACUGAGACACGGUCCAGACUCCUACGGGAGGCAGCAGUAGGGAAUCUUCCGCAAUGGGCGAAAGCCUGACGGAGCAACGCCGCGUGAGUGAUGAAGGUCUUCGGAUCGUAAAACUCUGUUAUUAGGGAAGAACAUAUGUGUAAGUAACUGUGCACAUCUUGACGGUACCUAAUCAGAAAGCCACGGCUAACUACGUGCCAGCAGCCGCGGUAAUACGUAGGUGGCAAGCGUUAUCCGGAAUUAUUGGGCGUAAAGCGCGCGUAGGCGGUUUUUUAAGUCUGAUGUGAAAGCCCACGGCUCAACCGUGGAGGGUCAUUGGAAACUGGAAAACUUGAGUGCAGAAGAGGAAAGUGGAAUUCCAUGUGUAGCGGUGAAAUGCGCAGAGAUGUGGAGGAACACCAGUGGCGAAGGCGACUUUCUGGUCUGUAACUGACGCUGAUGUGCGAAAGCGUGGGGAUCAAACAGGAUUAGAUACCCUGGUAGUCCACGCCGUAAACGAUGAGUGCUAAGUGUUAGGGGGUUUCCGCCCCUUAGUGCUGCAGCUAACGCAUUAAGCACUCCGCCUGGGGAGUACGACCGCAAGGUUGAAACUCAAAGGAAUUGACGGGGGCCCGCACAAGCGGUGGAGCAUGUGGUUUAAUUCGAAGCAACGCGAAGAACCUUACCAAAUCUUGACAUCCUUUGACAACUCUAGAGAUAGAGCCUUCCCCUUCGGGGGACAAAGUGACAGGUGGUGCAUGGUUGUCGUCAGCUCGUGUCGUGAGAUGUUGGGUUAAGUCCCGCAACGAGCGCAACCCUUAAGCUUAGUUGCCAUCAUUAAGUUGGGCACUCUAAGUUGACUGCCGGUGACAAACCGGAGGAAGGUGGGGAUGACGUCAAAUCAUCAUGCCCCUUAUGAUUUGGGCUACACACGUGCUACAAUGGACAAUACAAAGGGCAGCGAAACCGCGAGGUCAAGCAAAUCCCAUAAAGUUGUUCUCAGUUCGGAUUGUAGUCUGCAACUCGACUACAUGAAGCUGGAAUCGCUAGUAAUCGUAGAUCAGCAUGCUACGGUGAAUACGUUCCCGGGUCU
RNAcentral lists this ribosomal RNA (1372 nucleotides) under uncultured bacterium. RNAcentral describes it as "bacterial SSU rRNA". It matches the Rfam family "Bacterial small subunit ribosomal RNA", at positions 28 to 1381 of the family's 1533-position model. The record is from RNAcentral.